UUCGGUUCUAACUGACACUGAGGCGCGAAAGCGUGGGGAGCAAACAGGAUAGAUACCCUGGUAGUCCACGCCGUAAACGAUGAGUGCUAAGUGUUAGAGGGUUUCCGCCCUUUAGUGCUGAAGUUAACGCAUUAAGCACUCCGCCUGGGGAGUACGGCCGCAAGGCUGAAACUCAAAGGAAUUGACGGGGGCCCGCACAAGCGGUGGAGCAUGUGGUUUAAUUCGAAGCAACGCGAAGAACCUUACCAGGUCUUGACAUCCUCUGACAACCCUAGAGAUAGGGCUUCUCCUUCGGGAGCAGAGUGACAGGUGGUGCAUGGUUGUCGUCAGCUCGUGUCGUGAGAUGUUGGGUUAAGUCCCGCAACGAGCGCAACCCUUGAUCUUAGUUGCCAUCAUUAAGUUGGGCACUCUAAGGUGACUGCCGGUGACAAACCGGAGGAAGGUGGGGAUGACGUCAAAUCAUCAUGCCCCUUAUGACCUGGGCUACACACGUGCUACAAUGGACGGUACAAAGAGCUGCAAGACCGCGAGGUGGAGCUAAUCUAAUAAAACCGUUCUCAGUUCGGUUGUAGGCUGCAACUCGCCUACAUAAUAGCUGGAAUCGCUAGUAAUCGCGGAUCAGCAUGUCCUGGUGUAUACGUUCCCGGGCCUUGUGCACACCGCCCUCACACCACGAGAGUUUGUAACACCCGAGUCGUGAGUAACCUUUUGGAGCCAGCCGCCUAAGGUGGGACAGUGAUUGGGUGAAUCUAACAAGUAGCCUAUCGGAGGUGCGGCUGGUCA
RNAcentral lists this ribosomal RNA (783 nucleotides) under Bacillus cereus. Its description in RNAcentral is "bacterial SSU rRNA". It matches the Rfam family "Bacterial small subunit ribosomal RNA", at positions 729 to 1521 of the family's 1533-position model. Lineage: Bacteria; Bacillati; Bacillota; Bacilli; Caryophanales; Bacillaceae. The record is from RNAcentral.